This 413-nucleotide ribosomal RNA is filed under the name uncultured bacterium. RNAcentral's name for it is "bacterial SSU rRNA". It matches the Rfam family "Bacterial small subunit ribosomal RNA", at positions 335 to 734 of the family's 1533-position model. The record is from RNAcentral.
ACUCCUACGGGAGGCAGCAGUGGGGAAUAUUGGACAAUGGGGGGAACCCUGAUCCAGCCAUGCCGCGUGUGUGAAGAAGGCCUUUUGGUUGUAAAGCACUUUAAGCGAGGAGGAGGCUUACCGUGUUAAUUAACCCGGGGNUAAUUGGGACGUUACUCGCAGAAUAAGCACCGGCUAACUCUGUGCCAGCAGCCGCGGUAAUACAGAGGGUGCAAGCGUUAAUCGGAUUUACUGGGCGUAAAGCGCGCGUAGGUGGCUAAUUAAGUCAAAUGUGAAAUCCCCGAGCUUAACUUGGGAAUUGCAUUCGAUACUGGUUAGCUAGAGUAUGGGAGAGGAUGGUGANAAUUCCAGGUGUAGCGGUGAAAUGCGUAGAGAUCUGGAGGAAUACCGAUGGCGAAGGCAGCCAUCUCGGC